This 414-nucleotide ribosomal RNA is filed under the name Streptococcus anginosus. Its description in RNAcentral is "bacterial SSU rRNA". It matches the Rfam family "Bacterial small subunit ribosomal RNA", at positions 28 to 424 of the family's 1533-position model. Lineage: Bacteria; Bacillati; Bacillota; Bacilli; Lactobacillales; Streptococcaceae. The record is from RNAcentral.
GACGAACGCUGGCGGCGUGCCUAAUACAUGCAAGUAGGACGCACAGUUUAUACCGUAGCUUGCUACACCAUAGACUGUGAGUUGCGAACGGGUGAGUAACGCGUAGGUAACCUGCCUAUUAGAGGGGGAUAACUAUUGGAAACGAUAGCUAAUACCGCAUAACAGUAUGUAACACAUGUUAGAUGCUUGAAAGAUGCAAUUGCAUCGCUAGUAGAUGGACCUGCGUUGUAUUAGCUAGUAGGUAGGGUAAAGGCCUACCUAGGCAACGAUACAUAGCCGACCUGAGAGGGUGAUCGGCCACACUGGGACUGAGACACGGCCCAGACUCCUACGGGAGGCAGCAGUAGGGAAUCUUCGGCAAUGGGGGGAACCCUGACCGAGCAACGCCGCGUGAGUGAAGAAGGUUUUCGGAUC